Long non-coding RNA from Trachemys scripta elegans, 441 nucleotides. RefSeq lists it as uncharacterized. The transcript has 3 exons. NCBI's taxonomy places the organism in Eukaryota, Metazoa, Chordata, Testudines, Emydidae. The record is from RefSeq and is a predicted model, not a curated record.
GAGAGACUGGGGUAGGGAAGCACAUAGAAUCUGGACUGUGGGAAGAAGAGGUCUUCUGACAGCAAGAGUCUCACCAAAGGGCAGUGCCAAGGGGAGUGCCUUCCAGCCCUGGACACUACAGUCAUGAAAAUGAAUGGUUUGGCUUCACCCAAAAUGAUGGAUAAUCUUCCUAGAAGAGCGUGACAAUGAUGGACAGACAUCUUCUGUGUGAAGAGGAUUCUGAAAACGUUGCGGUCUUGAGCCGGCAAUCAAGUUGACAUAACAUCUAUCAUUUAAUAUUCUCUUAUGUUGUUGGAAUUUCUUGAACUGAACUAGCUUCAUAUUAUCCAUUUUCCUCAAACAACAACUGCAACUGCCGAAGGAGUAAUUUUUGAUGGGAGGAGAUUUUCAAUGGGUUUUGAAUUAAUGGUGAUUGAACUGUGUUAUAAAAGAAGAAAAUAA